UACGUAGGGUGCGAGCGUUGUCCGGAAUUAUUGGGCGUAAAGAGCUUGUAGGCGGUUUGUCGCGUCUGCUGUGAAAAUCCGGGGCUCAACCCCGGACUUGCAGUGGGUACGGGCAGACUAGAGUGUGGUAGGGGAGACUGGAAUUCCUGGUGUAGCGGUGAAAUGCGCAGAUAUCAGGAGGAACACCGGUGGCGAAGGCGGGUCUCUGGGCCGUAACUGACGCUGAGGAGCGAAAGCAUGGGGAGCGAACGGG
RNAcentral lists this ribosomal RNA (253 nucleotides) under uncultured bacterium. Its description in RNAcentral is "partial 16S ribosomal RNA". It matches the Rfam family "Bacterial small subunit ribosomal RNA", at positions 524 to 776 of the family's 1533-position model. The record is from RNAcentral.